Molecule: ribosomal RNA, 727 nt
Filed under: uncultured bacterium
Lineage: Bacteria
Description: bacterial SSU rRNA
Rfam family: Bacterial small subunit ribosomal RNA
Source: RNAcentral
GCAUCUUCGGAUGUGUAUAAAGUGGCGAACGGCUGAGUGACACGUGGGCAACCUGCCCUUUGCACUGGGAUAGCCUCGGGAAACCGAGGUUAAUACCGGAUACUCCAUAUCCAUCGCAUGAUAGAUAUAGGAAAGCUCCGGCGGCAAAGGAUGGGCCCGCGGCCUGUUAGCUAGUUGGUGGGGUAGUGGCCUACCAAGGCAAUGAUGGGUAGCCGGGUUGAGAGACCGACCGGCCAGAUUGGGACUGAGACACGGCCCAGACUCCUACGGGAGGCAGCAGUGGGGAAUCUUGCACAAUGGGCGAAAGCCUGAUGCAGCGACGCCGCGUGCGGGAUGAAGGCCUUCGGGUUGUAAACCGCUUUCAGCAGGGACGAGGCCGCAAGGUGACGGUACCUGCAGAAGAAGCCCCGGCUAACUACGUGCCAGCAGCCGCGGUAAUACGUAGGGGGCAAGCGUUAUCCGGAUUCAUUGGGCGUAAAGCGCGCGUAGGCGGUCUGUUAGGUCAGGAGUCAAAUCUGGGGGCUCAACCCCUAUCCGCUCCUGAUACCGGCAGGCUUGAGUCUGGUAUGGGAAGGUGGAAUUCCAAGUGUAGCGGUGAAAUGCGCAGAUAUUUGGAAGAACACCAGUGGCGAAGGCGGCCUUCUGGGCCAUGACUGACGCUGAGGCGCGAAAGCUAGGGGAGCGAACAGGAUUAGAUACCCUGGUAGUCCUAGCUGUAAACGAUGGA